CAAAAACAUCGCCUCCCGCAAAAAUCAACGUAUAGGAGGUCCUGCCUGCCCGGUGACUUAUCAGUUUAACGGCCGCGGUAUUUUGACCGUGCUAAGGUAGCGCAAUCACUUGUUCUUUAAAUGAGGACCUGUAUGAAUGGUGGAACGAGGGCUUAACUGUCUCCCUUCUCCAGUCAAUGAAAUUGAUCUGCCCGUGCAGAAGCGGGCAUACAUAUACAAGACGAGAAGACCCUUUGGAGCUUAAGACAUAAGGCCAACCGUGUAAAACCCCAAAACAACAAUGGUGUAAAACAAAACAGCAACUGGCCAGCGUCUUCGGUUGGGGCGACCGUGGGGGAAAACAAAGCCCCCAUGUGGAAUGGGACAUUUCCUAAAACCAAGAGAGACAUCUCUAAGUCACAGAACAUCUGACUAAAAGAUCCGGCACACAGACCGAUCAACGAACUAAGUUACCCUAGGGAUAACAGCGCAAUCCUUUCCAAGAGUUCAUAUCGACGAAAGGGUUUACGACCUCGAUGUUGGAUCAGGACAUCCUAAUGGUGCAGCCGCUAUUAAGGGUUCGUUUGUUCAACGAUUAAAGUCCUACGUGAUCUGAG
RNAcentral lists this ribosomal RNA (596 nucleotides) under Anodus orinocensis. RNAcentral's name for it is "partial 16S large subunit ribosomal RNA". It matches the Rfam family "Bacterial large subunit ribosomal RNA", at positions 1808 to 2609 of the family's 2925-position model. Lineage: Eukaryota; Metazoa; Chordata; Actinopteri; Characiformes; Hemiodontidae. The record is from RNAcentral.